This 1684-nucleotide long non-coding RNA is filed under the name Homo sapiens (human). Its description in RNAcentral is "HSALNT0291386". The record is from RNAcentral. Lineage: Eukaryota; Metazoa; Chordata; Mammalia; Primates; Hominidae.
GCACUCCAGCCUGGGUGACAGAAGUGAAACUCCGUCUCAAAAAAAAAAAAAAAAAUUGGCUGAAGAGCAAGGUGUUGGCUUACUUGCUAAUAAGACUUAGAUAAGAGGGCAUGUUUAGAAGUGAGCACAGGCCAGGUGUGGUAGCUCACGCCUGUUAGCCCAGCACUUUGGGAGGCUGAGGUGGGCCGGUCACAAGGUCAGGAGUUUGAGACCAGCCUGGCCAACACAGUGAAACCCCCUCUCUACUAAAAAUACAAACAUUAGCUGGGUGUGGUGGCGGGUGCCUGUAAUCCCAGCUAUUUGGGAGGCUGAGGCAGGAGAAUUGCUUGAACCUGGGAGGCAGAGGUUGCAGUGAGCCAAGAUUGCACCACUGCACUCCAGCCUGGGUGACAGAGCACGACUCCAUCCUGAAAAAAAAAAAAGUGAAGGCAAAUGGUAAUGCUAGUAUUCCUCUUUAUUUCAUGUGCUUUGCCUACCUACCUAGUCACAGUAAGUGCAGGACAACCUUGGCUUUCCACACAGUGAAGGUGCCUGCUUCUCUAAGCCUACUGACUAAGCACGGUAGGAUAAAAUUGAAAAAAAACAAAACAAAACAUUGAAAAUAGCACCAGCCAGCUGUGGCGGCUCACGCUUGUAAUCUUGGUACUUUGCGAGGCCAAGGUGGGUGGAUCACUUGAGCUCAGGAGUUCAAGACCAGCCUGAACAACAUGAUGAAACCCCAUCUCUACAAAAAAAAGAAAAAAAAUAGGCAUGGCACGCUCCUGUAGCCCCAGCUACUCAGGAGGCUGAGGUGGAAGGAUCACCUGAGCCUGGUGGGUGGAGGCUGAAGCCAUGAUUGUGCCACUGCACUUGAGCCUGGGUGACAGAGCAAGACAGUCUCAAAAAAAAAAAAAAAAAAAAAAAAAAAGAAAGAAAGAAAAGAAAGAAAAAAGAAAAUAGCACCAAAAAUGUAAAAUACUUAGGGAUAAGUUUGAAAAAAAAAAGAUGUGCAAGAUCUGUUCAUUGAAAACCAGAAAACAUUACUGAGAGAACUGAAAGACAACCUAUCCAAAUGGAAAAAUACACUAUGUCCAUGGAUGAAAAGACUCAAUAUUGUUAAGGUGUUAUUUGUCCCCAAAUUGAUUUGUAGAUCUAACACAACCCUAAUCAAAAGUCAGCUGGCUUUUUUUUUUUUUGUAGAAAUGUAUGGUUGAUUCUAAAAUUUAUAUGGGAAUGAAAAGGACCUACAAUAGACACACACACACACACACACACACACACACACACACACACACUUUAGAAAGAAAAACAUAAAAACAUAGUUGGAUAACUUAUACUACCUGUGGAGGGCAGAUUCUAAGAUGGCCCCAUGACCAUCUAUUGCUUCUAACCAAUAGAAUAUGGUGAAGGUGAUGGGAUGCCAUUUGUGAUUGCAUUAAGUUAUAAAAGCCUCUCUUGCUAGCAGAUCCACUCUAGAGUCUCUUCCUCUUCUCCUUUCUGGCCAUGUUGAGGAAGCUCAUGUAGCAAGGAACUGGGGAGGCCCCUUGAAGCUAAGGGUGCCCACCAACAGCCAAACAACAAAAAACUGAAGCUCUCAGUUUCCGUUUGCUAACUACCAUGUGAGCUGGAAAGCGAAUUAUUUUUCAGUCCAGUCUCCAGAUAAGAGUCCAGCCCUGGCUUAUAUACACCUUGACCGCAGUCUCUG